RNAcentral lists this transfer RNA (88 nucleotides) under Hemionitis truncata. Its description in RNAcentral is "Pellaea truncata tRNA-Ser". It matches the Rfam family "tRNA". Rfam says of the family: Transfer RNA (tRNA) molecules are approximately 80 nucleotides in length. Their secondary structure includes four short double-helical elements and three loops (D, anti-codon, and T loops). Lineage: Eukaryota; Viridiplantae; Streptophyta; Polypodiopsida; Polypodiales; Pteridaceae. The record is from RNAcentral.
GGAGAGAUGGCCGAGAGGUUUAAAGCGUCAGAUUGCUAAUCCGUUGUACAACUUUCAUGUACCGAGGGUUCGAAUCCCUCUCUCUCCU